CGCAGCAGAUAGGAUUCGAGCCUACGCGGGGAAACCUGAAUGGAUUUCGAGUCCAUCGCCUUAACCACUCGGCCACGACAGC
RNAcentral lists this transfer RNA (82 nucleotides) under Araneus ventricosus. RNAcentral describes it as "tRNA-Ser". Lineage: Eukaryota; Metazoa; Arthropoda; Arachnida; Araneae; Araneidae. The record is from RNAcentral.